This 254-nucleotide ribosomal RNA is filed under the name uncultured bacterium. RNAcentral's name for it is "partial 16S ribosomal RNA". It matches the Rfam family "Bacterial small subunit ribosomal RNA", at positions 524 to 776 of the family's 1533-position model. The record is from RNAcentral.
UACGGAGGGUGCAAGCGUUGUCCGGAAUCACUGGGCGUAAAGGGCGCGUAGGCGGCUCAUGAAGGCUGUGGUGAAAGUCCGGGGCUCAACCUCGGAUCGGCCGUGGCAACUCGUGGGCUGGAGCACUGUAGAGGCGGGUGGAAUUCCGGGUGUAGCGGUGGAAUGCGUAGAGAUCCGGAAGAACACCAGUGGCGAAGGCGGCCCGCUGGGCAGUGGCUGACGCUGAGGCGCGACAGCGUGGGGGAGCAAACAGG